Molecule: long non-coding RNA, 656 nt
Organism: Syngnathoides biaculeatus (alligator pipefish)
Lineage: Eukaryota; Metazoa; Chordata; Actinopteri; Syngnathiformes; Syngnathidae
Exons: 3
Source: RefSeq, a predicted model, not a curated record
UCCCGAUAGUCCAUUUGAUCCUACAUCCGUUUUAUCAGCAUCUGUUUAUAUGCUCUUAUUACCGGGUCCAUGACUCAGUCAAAAUUUCUGUCCUCUGUUUUAGUCCUCUGUUGGCACAGAGAAUAGCAGGACCAAAUAGUUCGGAACACAGAGAUCAUGACAUGGAAUUGCAGGACCCAUUAGUUCAGAACACAGAGUUCAUGACAUGGAAGUGCUUCCACGGAGCAAGGGAGGCCGGCAGACUCAAAGCAGAAUAUACGCUGACUUUUGUGCUACUCUGGUCUUGCCGACCCUACAUAUUUAAAGAGAAGACUGACAGGUUCAUCACAUUGGGAAAGCCAUUCCCAAUCCCCUCACCUCAAAUCUGAUGGAGAUAAAUGUCUUGGCAAUUAAUCUGUUAAUAACUGCUCGUAAGUAAUAUAUUUUUUUCGGGGUGUGACAAAGUAUUUUUAUGGCCCAAUUCUUCAGCGGGAUGCUGCGAAUCCUUAUCCAACUGUCCAGUUGGUGGACAGUGACUGGAAGAUCAGUUUUACAAGAAAUGUUGUAAUCCUGGUCAGAGGUUAGCCUAACCCUAAAAUACCAGUUGUACAUUUGUAACAUCUUAUUUUUCAUGUAUUUAUCUUUUAUCAAAUGGGAGCUUGGGACCAAACAAUGAA